CAGUCGCCGCGGUAAUACGAGGGGUGCAAGCGUUAUUCGGAUUGAUUGGGUGUAAAGGGUGUGCAGACGGCUUAUUAAGUCACUUGUUAAAUUCUUCGGCCUAACUGAAGGUCUGCAAGUGAUACUGAUGAGCUAGAGGGUGGAAGAGAGAAGUGGAAUUCUCGGAGUAGCGGUAAAAUGCGUAGAUCUCGAGAGGAACACCAAUGGCGAAGGCAGCUUCUUGGUCCAUUCCUGACGUUCAUACACGAAAGCGUGGGGAGCAAACAGGAUUAGAUACCCGCGUAGUCCCUGUCUCUUAUAA
RNAcentral lists this ribosomal RNA (301 nucleotides) under uncultured bacterium. Its description in RNAcentral is "partial 16S ribosomal RNA". It matches the Rfam family "Bacterial small subunit ribosomal RNA", at positions 509 to 809 of the family's 1533-position model. The record is from RNAcentral.